UGCUGGGCCACAGGCAGCACUGCGGUGUUUUACCCCAGAGAUACCUUGGCUGGCGGCAGAGUGCAGCGGGGCACAAGAUAGGACUCCGUUCUCCUCAGGAGAGAGCUUCUGGCGAUGGUGAAGAGAAGGAAGGA
Molecule: non-coding RNA, 134 nt
Organism: Zonotrichia albicollis (white-throated sparrow)
Lineage: Eukaryota; Metazoa; Chordata; Aves; Passeriformes; Passerellidae
Source: RefSeq, a predicted model, not a curated record